This 405-nucleotide ribosomal RNA is filed under the name uncultured bacterium. RNAcentral describes it as "bacterial SSU rRNA". It matches the Rfam family "Bacterial small subunit ribosomal RNA", at positions 370 to 772 of the family's 1533-position model. The record is from RNAcentral.
AAUGGGCGAGGGCCUGAACCAGCCAAGUCGCGUGAAGGAAGAAGGUUCUAUGGAUUGUAAACUUCUUUUGCAGGGGAAUAAAGGACGGUACGUGUACUGUUUUGUAUGUACCUUGCGAAUAAGGAUCGGCUAACUCCGUGCCAGCAGCCGCGGUAAUACGGAGGAUCCGAGCGUUAUCCGGAUUUAUUGGGUUUAAAGGGUGCGUAGGUGGAUUGUUAAGUCAGUGGUGAAAGUUUUCAGCUCAACUGAAAAAUUGCCGUUGAAACUGUCGAUCUUGAGUGCAAAUGAGGUAGGCGGAAUGUGUUGUGUAGCGGUGAAAUGCUUAGAUAUAACUCAGAACUCCGAUUGCGAAGGCAGCUUACUGGGAUGCAACUGACACUGAUGCACGAAAGCGUGGGUAUCAAA